This 637-nucleotide ribosomal RNA is filed under the name uncultured bacterium. Its description in RNAcentral is "bacterial SSU rRNA". It matches the Rfam family "Bacterial small subunit ribosomal RNA", at positions 202 to 828 of the family's 1533-position model. The record is from RNAcentral.
AAAGGUGGCUAUGCUACCGCUUUUGGAUGGGCCCGCGGCGCAUUAGCUAGUUGGUGGGGUAAAGGCUUACCAAGGCAAUGAUGCGUAGCCGAACUGAGAGGUUGAUCGGCCACAUUGGGACUGAGACACGGCCCAAACUCCUACGGGAGGCAGCAGUAGGGAAUCUUCCACAAUGGGCGAAAGCCUGAUGGAGCAACGCCGCGUGGGUGAAGAAGGUCUUCGGAUCGUAAAACCCUGUUGUUAGAGAAGAAAGUGCGUGAGAGUAACUGUUCACGUUUCGACGGUAUCUAACCAGAAAGCCACGGCUAACUACGUGCCAGCAGCCGCGGUAAUACGUAGGUGGCAAGCGUUAUCCGGAUUUAUUGGGCGUAAAGGGAACGCAGGCGGUCUUUUAAGUCUGAUGUGAAAGCCUUCGGCUUAACCGGAGUAGUGCAUUGGAAACUGGGAGACUUGAGUGCAGAAGAGGAGAGUGGAACUCCAUGUGUAGCGGUGAAAUGCGUAGAUAUAUGGAAGAACACCAGUGGCGAAAGCGGCUCUCUGGUCUGUAACUGACGCUGAGGUUCGAAAGCGUGGGUAGCAAACAGGAUUAGAUACCCUGGUAGUCCACGCCGUAAACGAUGAAUGCUAAGUGUUGGAG